This 503-nucleotide ribosomal RNA is filed under the name uncultured bacterium. RNAcentral describes it as "partial 16S ribosomal RNA". It matches the Rfam family "Bacterial small subunit ribosomal RNA", at positions 28 to 523 of the family's 1533-position model. The record is from RNAcentral.
GAUGAACGCUAGCGAUAGGCCUAACACAUGCAAGUCGAGGGGCAGCAUAGAGUAGCAAUACUUUGAUGGCGACCGGCGCACGGGUGAGUAACACGUAUGCAACCUACCUACAUCAGGGGAAUAACCCGGAGAAAUUCGGACUAAUACCGCAUAAUACAGGGAUGCCGCAUGGCAAUAUUUGUUAAAGAUUUAUCGGAUGUAGAUGGGCAUGCGUUCCAUUAGCUUGUUGGUGAGGUAACGGCUCACCAAGGCAACGAUGGAUAGGGGAACUGAGAGGUUUGUCCCCCACACUGGAACUGAGACACGGACCAGACUCCUACGGGAGGCAGCAGUGAGGAAUAUUGGUCAAUGGACGAGAGUCUGAACCAGCCAAAUCGCGCGAAGGAAGACUGCCCUACGGGUUGUAAACUUCUUUUGUACAGGAAUAAAAGACAUUACGUGUAAUGUAUUGCAUGUACUGUACGAAUAAGCAUCGGCUAACUCCGUGCCAGCAGCCGCAGUAA